Nerophis lumbriciformis (worm pipefish) is the source of this 2803-nucleotide non-coding RNA. Lineage: Eukaryota; Metazoa; Chordata; Actinopteri; Syngnathiformes; Syngnathidae. The record is from RefSeq and is a predicted model, not a curated record.
AAAUGCCAAAUAACAUUGCAUAAUGGAGGUUUUUAAUAAGCAUGUCAAUGUUUGUUUUGCUCACACAAUUCAGCGUCGUUAGUUACUUUUAACUAGUUGAGCUAACACGAGAAAGGGACGAGGUGUAGGUGUUUUUUUUAAAAGUUAUAUAUAAAACUAGACGAAUGCAGCUGAGAUAGGCUCCAGCACCCCCCGCGACCCCGAGAGGGACAAGCGUGUCACGGCAGUGAGUCCACGGUCCGAGCAAGAAAGUACCCCUAAACGAGGCGACAGCUCGUCAACAUGGCUGACGGCCGGACUGAAACAUUGAAUUUCAACGUUGGAGUUCUGGGACAUGUCGACAGCGGCAAGACGUCGCUGGCUCGGGCGCUGAGCAGCACCGCCUCCACGGCGGCCUUCGACAAGAACCCUCAGUCUCGUGAGAGAGGCAUCACCCUGGACCUCGGCUUCUCCUCCUUCACCGUGGACCUUCCGGGUCACCUGCAGGACAAGAAGGGCCAGCAGCCCUAUGACAGCCUGCAGUUCACCCUGGUAGACUGCCCGGGACAUGCCUCUCUCAUUCGGACUAUUAUUGGCGGGGCCCAGAUAAUCGACCUGAUGAUGCUGGUGGUGGACGUGGUGAAAGGAGUGCAGACUCAGACUGCCGAGUGUCUCCUGAUCGGACAGCUGACCUGUCCCCGCAUGGUGGUCGUGCUGAACAAGACCGACCUUCUGCCAGCCAGCAAGAGGCAGACUGCCAUUGAGAGGAUGACCAAGAGACUCCACAAAACGCUGGAGAACACCAGAUUUAAGGACUGUCCGGUGAUUGCGGUGGCAGCCAAGCCUGGAGGCCCCGAAGCUCCUGAUGCAGAGGAACCGCAGGGGGUGUCAGAGUUGAUUGAGCUAUUAAAAGAGCAAACGUAUCUCCCACAAAGAGACCCUGGAGGCGACCUGCUGAUGGCCGUAGACCACUGCUUCUCCAUCCGUGGCCAAGGAACGAUCAUGACCGGGACCAUCCUGCAGGGGUCGCUGGCCAUCAACGACACUGUGGAAAUCCCAGCUCUAAAAGUGAGCAAGAAGGUAAAGUCGAUACAGAUGUUUCGGAAGCCGGUCUCGGGGGCCAUGCAGGGAGACCGCGUGGGUGUGUGCGUGACCCAGUUUGACCCCAAGCUGCUGGAGCGGGGCGUCGUGUGCACCCCAGGCUCCCUGCGCACCCUCUACGCCGCCGUCAUCUCGGCCAGAAAGAUCGGCUACUUCAAGGGCUCGCUCUGCACGCGGGCCAAAUUCCACAUCACCGUGGGACACGAGACCGUCAUGGCAAGGGUGACCUUCUUCGGCCUCCCCGAGCGUUGUCCGGACACACCCGACCUACAGCCGUGCUCGCUGGAAACGGCCUUCUCCUUCGACAGGGAGUACCUCUACCAGGAAGACUACGUCGCCGGCCAGGGAGAGCCUAGUCCGGCACCCGACCCGGAGCAGUGGGCCUUGCUGGAGUUUGAGCGUCCGGUUACGUGCCCCUUACUCUGCCUGGUGAUUGGCUCCAAGCUGGACAGCGACAUCCAUGCGAACGCUUGCCGCUUGGCCUUCCAAGGACGUCUGCUGCACGCCUUUGAAGAUAAAUGCUACGCUGAGAGCAGCCUGCCUGGCCUGCUCAUCUGCAAGACCAAACACAAGGAGGGACAAGUGGAGCGGGUGACCGACGACUACACUGUGAUUGGCCGAAGCCUCUUCAAGAAGGAAACCAACCUGCAGAUCUUUGUGGGCUUGAAGGUCACGCUGUCAACCGGCGAAUCCGGCGUCAUUGAGGGUGGAUUUGGUCAAAGUGGGAAGUUCAAAAUCCGGGUGCAAGAGGGUCUUCGCCCAGAAACCAAGCAGUUGCUGUCCUCGUCUGGCAAGAAAAAAGGGAAAGGAGGCGCCCGAGACGCUGCCAACGAAGAGGAGCCCAAAGCGGAGGCACAUCAGUGGUCUUGCAGAGCAGCUGAUGGCAGCAGGACAGUGACAUCCCAUACUAAAUCAUUGGACUAAAACGCACGGGGGAAAGAGGAAAAGAUGAAAGAGGCUACCGAUCCUAAUCUGACAGCAGCUCCAGCCUGUUGCCAGGUUACCCCCUGGGGUGUCAAUCUCCAUUUAAAUCCUCGCCGCCUUGCCGCCCGACCGUCAACGCCGACCCCGCGCACCCAACGCUCCCCGAGGCCCCGCUCUCUCCUCCGCCGCCCCGGCGGGCUGAAUCCACGGCGCAUCAUCCGGCAGGCUCUUUUCCAUCCAAUAUGAGUGCAGCGAGAAGGUUGUGGAGGUUAAACUGGAGAAAUAACCUGCCUGAAGUGCAGCUGGAUAAGACUGAAAGGGCCCAUCCCCCACCUCCCUCCGUCUGAGAUUCUUAUCGUGGGCCAGCUUAUUGCUUCCUGAGGAGACCUGGAGCUCCACUUUGUGUUCCUGGGUGGACGGUAAGGCCACGUUGUUACCACGCCAGCAAUAAACUGGACAAAAUCAGUCAAGUACCGCCAACAAAGUCCCCUCGCUACUUUUAGUUACGCUCGGCUUAGGUUUCCUUUCUCGCUUUAAUGAAGGCCGUGGCGUCUGGGUGGCGUUUAGAUCUUCAUGUCCACGUAACCCAAACUAACCACAUGGCUCGUAAGUAAAGACGAAGUGACCUUUUUUUGUCGCUAAGACGUUUUCUAGGAUUGUCUUUUACUAAGAAUUUUUUCAUAGUUCAAUCUGAUUCGCUAGUCUUUUUUUUGUACGUACGCUAGCAUCUAUGCUAGCAGGAGCAAUGCUAAUGGAGAUCCCAGCAAAGAAACAAAUCUCGUUUGCGACUUUUUCCACC